Molecule: small RNA, 173 nt
Filed under: Microtus ochrogaster (prairie vole)
Lineage: Eukaryota; Metazoa; Chordata; Mammalia; Rodentia; Cricetidae
Description: TUC338 (ENSMOCG00000011682.1)
Source: RNAcentral
UUAGAAGGCCAAGAGACUGAAGUCCUCCAUUCCCUCAUAGGACAGGUAGAACAUGGACAACAGAAGUCAAAGUUUACCCCACACCUCCCUGCCAGUGUGCUUCGACCUGGGAGGGGGGCCAUCGCUGGGGUGAGAGGGUAGCUCAUUCACUCAGUCCCUGGCCUUCUGACACU